This 449-nucleotide ribosomal RNA is filed under the name Streptococcus sp. oral taxon C08. RNAcentral describes it as "bacterial SSU rRNA". It matches the Rfam family "Bacterial small subunit ribosomal RNA", at positions 28 to 464 of the family's 1533-position model. Lineage: Bacteria; Bacillati; Bacillota; Bacilli; Lactobacillales; Streptococcaceae. The record is from RNAcentral.
GACGAACGCUGGCGGCGUGCCUAAUACAUGCAAGUAGAACGCUGAAGCUUGGUGCUUGCACCGAGCGGAUGAGUUGCGAACGGGUGAGUAACGCGUAGGUAACCUGCCUGGUAGCGGGGGAUAACUAUUGGAAACGAUAGCUAAUACCGCAUAAUAGUAGAUGUUGCAUGACAUUUGCUUAAAAGGUGCAAUUGCAUCACUCCAGAUGGACCUGCGUUGUAUUAGCUAGUUGGUGAGGUAACGGCUCACCAAGGCGACGAUACAUAGCCGACCUGAGAGGGUGAUCGGCCACACUGGGACUGAGACACGGCCCAGACUCCUACGGGAGGCAGCAGUAGGGAAUCUUCGGCAAUGGACGGAAGUCUGACCGAGCAACGCCGCGUGAGUGAAGAAGGUUUUCGGAUCGUAAAGCUCUGUUGUAAGAGAAGAACGAGUGUGAGAAGUGGAAA